Molecule: ribosomal RNA, 346 nt
Filed under: uncultured bacterium
Lineage: Bacteria
Description: partial 16S ribosomal RNA
Rfam family: Bacterial small subunit ribosomal RNA
Source: RNAcentral
CCUACGGGAGGCAGCAGUGAGGAAUAUUGGUCAAUGGGCGCGAGCCUGAACCAGCCAAGUAGCGUGAAGGAUGACUGCCCUACGGGUUGUAAACUUCUGUUAUAAAGGAAUAAAGUGAGGCACGUGUGCCUUUUUGUAUGUACUUUAUGAAGAAGGAUCGGCUAACGCCGUGCCAGCAGCCGCGGUAAUACGGAGGAUCCGAGCGUUAUCCGGAUUUAGUGGGGUUAAAGGGAGCGUAGAGGGGUUGUUAAGUCAGUUGUGAAAGUUUGCGGCUCAACCGUAAAAUGGCACUUGAUACGGGCAGUCUUGAGUACAGUUGCGGUCGGCGGCAUUCGUGGUGUCGCGG